UGAACGCUGGCGGCGUGCCUAACACAUGCAAGUCGAACGAGCGAGAGAUGAAACCUAGUGAUUCUCGAGCGAGUGGCGGACGGGUGAGUAACGCGUGGGUAACCUGCCUUACAGAGGGGGAUAACAGUCUGAAAAGACUGCUAAUACCGCAUAAGCACACAGUACCGCAUGGUACAGGGUGAAAAGAUUUAUCACUGUAAGAUGGACCCGCGUCUGAUUAGCCAGUUGGCAGGGUAACGGCCUACCAAAGCGACGAUCAGUAGCCGACCUGAGAGGGUGAUCGGCCACAUUGGGACUGAGACACGGCCCAAACUCCUACGGGAGGCAGCAGUGGGGGAUAUUGCACAAUGGAGGAAACUCUGAUGCAGCCGACGCCGCGUGAGUGAAGAAGUAUUUCGGUAUGUAAAGCUCUAUCAGCAGGGAAGAUAAUGACAGUACCUGACCAAGAAGCCCCGGCUAACUACGUGCCAGCCGCUGC
This 478-nucleotide ribosomal RNA is filed under the name uncultured bacterium. RNAcentral describes it as "bacterial SSU rRNA". It matches the Rfam family "Bacterial small subunit ribosomal RNA", at positions 30 to 518 of the family's 1533-position model. The record is from RNAcentral.